CACGUAGUUAGCCGGACCUUUCUGGUUAAGUACCGUCAAUUACGAUUCAUUUCCUAAUCGUACCUUUCUUCCUUAACAACAGAACUUUACAUAUCGAAAUACUUCUUCGUUCACGCGGCAUUGCUCGGUCAGGGUUGCCCCCAUUGCCGAAUAUCCCUAACUGCUGCCUCCCGUAGGAGUCUGGACCGUGUCUCAGUUCCAGUGUGGCCGAUCAGCCUCUCAGCUCGGCUACGCAUCGUCGCCUUGGUGAGCCGUUACCUCACCAACUAGCUAAUACGAAGCAGGACCCUCCUAGAGUGGUGCACACGCACCUUUAAAUACAUGAUCAUGCGAUCCCGUAUACUAUCCGGUAUUAGCAUCCGUUUCCAGAUGUUAUCCCCGUCUCUAGGGUAGGUUUCCUACCUGUUACUCACCCGUUGCCACUCUUCCAUAAUAGCAAGCUAUUAUUUCAGCGUUCGACUUGCAUGUCUUAGGCAUGCCGCCAGCGUUCAUCCUGAGCC
Molecule: ribosomal RNA, 500 nt
Filed under: uncultured Bacillota bacterium
Lineage: Bacteria; Bacillati; Bacillota
Description: uncultured Firmicutes bacterium partial 16S ribosomal RNA
Source: RNAcentral